CCACCCCUCCGACCCCAGAGCCAGGUCCCUCUCUUCCCGUCAUCGAGCUCCGCCGACGCCUUAUCGCCGUUGAGCCCAGAACCCAAACCCUCUCCCUUCCGACGAACCCUGGUCCCUCUCUUCUCGCCGUCGAGCUCCGCAGAACCCAAACCCUCUCCCUCCCUAGAUCCUGGUCCCUCUCUUCUCGCCGUCGCCUUCUCGCCAUCGAUAGCCAGGUCCCGCUUUGUCGCCGUCGAGCUCCUCCUCCGCCUUCAACCUCCUCCUCCGCGAUCUGCCCUUCAACCUAGGUUGGACCUCUUUCAAUUUUCAGGAAACGAGCUUCAGGAAGAUUUUUGGCUCCUUUCUCUCCCGAUUGAGAGGGUAUGCAAGUUACUUAUAUCAAACCAAUGCAAAACAAAAAAGUUAUGGUUGUUGUUUUACUUUAUGUCCGACAAGUACUAUGUCCGUGCUUGCAUGGAUUGUUUUGAUCUCUUUGGUUUAUAUUUGUUGAUUUAUACACAUUCAAAUGCGUUAAGCUACACUAGUAUACACAUUCAAAUGCGCAUCAUAGUGUUUACUGUUUAGCAUUAUUACCGUUAGCUGCAAAUAUAUAUAUAAGCAUGUUUGUUCUUGUGAUUUUUUUGACUGUCCUCUUAAGAUGAUUUAUAUAUAAUCUAUGGAUUCAUUUGUUUA
Molecule: long non-coding RNA, 672 nt
Organism: Asparagus officinalis (garden asparagus)
Lineage: Eukaryota; Viridiplantae; Streptophyta; Magnoliopsida; Asparagales; Asparagaceae
Exons: 2
Source: RefSeq, a predicted model, not a curated record